Molecule: long non-coding RNA, 1615 nt
Organism: Coccinella septempunctata (seven-spotted ladybird)
Lineage: Eukaryota; Metazoa; Arthropoda; Insecta; Coleoptera; Coccinellidae
Exons: 3
Source: RefSeq, a predicted model, not a curated record
GAUGUUUAUCCUCAUAUAACAUUAAUCGUUAGCGUUUUGACAUCAAUUACUCCCAUAAAAGAAAACCCAUUUUGAGUAAAAUAAAUAGCACUCCAAUUGACAAAUUUAUUGUAUCUUUUAUCAAAUGAAAAAAUUGAUUUGCUCCCUUAUCAUCAGCAAUAAGUACUUAAGUGAUAAAACUGAUAGAGCAGGACACUUAUUGUUCAGUCAAAAACAGUGUGGUCAGAGGUAUUGUUGAUAGUAAACGAUAGAUAUAAAGCAUCAGUAUGGUGUUCCCAAAAUUUCAUUUUUUCUUGCUUUCUAUGCUGAUUUUGCUAUUGGUAUUGUGCACCUCCGUUUUGGGCGCAUCUGAUAGCGGUGUUUCUGGUGUUGGACAUAUCAUUGAUGCAGGUUGCAGAGAAGGAUAUGUAAAAAUUAAUGGAAUAUGUGUCGAGGAUCUAUAGGACUCUCACUUAUUAUGGAAUUUCUUCAUUGGCUGGCAACCCAAAUUUCGAGAUGACUCACCAAACCUACAUUUGAACUUCAUAUAAAACCUGGCUUUUAUGUUUAUCAGCUUGGUGGUAGCUGUCCGUUGAAAGAAGAAAUUGUUUCUGCAGGAUAUUUUAUAAUUCAUAACCAAAAAGGAAAUAUAAUGCACCUUUUAGUAAUCACGUUUUAUUUUAAAUAUCAUAUGUAGCAAAGCACAUUAAUAAAACCAUAUUGCAUUGAUACACUGAUUGGUAAAAAAGCUCCUAACUCAUCCUUAACCCUAAUCAAUGCUUUAAUGAUGAUGAAAUGUCAUUUUAUGGAAUGAUGAAGUGCAGAAUUAACGUUCACUAAUAACAUCAGAAUGGAUUUUCAAUUAAAGAAUAAAUUACCUAUCCGCUAGGCAAACAUGAAAAUAUCAUCAUCAUUUGAACAUAAACUGAUAUCAUUGUCGCUAAGUACUUAUAUCUAUUCGAAAUUCGAGAAAAAGAUAAAACAAUAUGUUGUCAAAUCGAAAUAAACUAUAAAUUUCGUAACAAAGAAUCGGAGGAAGUGAUCAGAAUAGAUUUUGAGAAUAUCAGAAGUUUGAACAUCGAUUUUUUUUUUGAGAUAGAAAAAGUAAUCGUCAGAAAUUCUCUUCCCCACGAAAGUAUCACAUAUCAUUACAACAUUGUACGAAGAGAAUCGUCUCCUUAUGACCUAAAUCUCCUUCCAUUCUGAAAUGAGACAAAGGAAUGUGAGGGCUUUGAUGAAAAUUUGACAUCCAAAUCUUGGUGAAUUACUUACGAUGAAUAAUGUUGACAUGCAGAUGCAAUUCAUGGAACAUAACAGAUUAAAAAGCCAAUAUUAGCCAAACUACUGAAGGUGCUCAAUGAAUAAAAGAUACAUUGAUGGGGGUUACAAUGAAGCACACAAUGUGAGGAAAUGUAAGCAUGUUAUCAACUCCAUGAGAAAUUUGAAAACAUGAAGGGUACAAGUCAAAAAAUAAAAAAGAAAAUUUUAUGGAUUUAUUUUUAACAAACAUAAUUCAACACAAUUUGUUAAUUAUACAUUGAAUAUACAAUAUAUUUUACGUCAUCUGUCGACAAACUACUCGAAUUAUGUAUAAAAUAAUUUUUUUUGAAAUGCAUAAUUAUAAAAUUGCACGAAA